AGCUAUUGUGCUCUAGUCCUCAAUUACCCUUACCAGUGCCUCACUUCCCCUCACAGACCUAAGUUUUCUACACAGCCCAUAUCCCCUCAUCAGGUCAACAAUAUAAUGACAUUUUCAAUAACUCAAAACACGUUUCAGCGUAUCCAGGUCCAAUAUUUAACCCAUUCAAAACAAACCAUAUUUAUCAAGUCCAAACACAGAAAAAUCAAUUGUUAAGCAAUAACUCAAAUCAAUUCAAGAACAUGCUAAAAAUACAUAACAGUAGCAAUUCAAUUCCCACCCA
Molecule: long non-coding RNA, 283 nt
Filed under: Vigna radiata
Lineage: Eukaryota; Viridiplantae; Streptophyta; Magnoliopsida; Fabales; Fabaceae
Description: long non-coding RNA (VRAD_LNC009118)
Source: RNAcentral